AAAUUACUUGUUUGCAAUAAAAUUUGUAGUAAAAUUGUUAUUGUGAUAAGUAAACAUCAUUUUCAUGGCUUGCAUGUGUCUUCACUUCAGCUUGAAUAAUAAAGCACAUGGAACGGAUGUAUAACUUGAGACUACAGUAUACGGCAUUGUUUGACUGUAUGAAUCCUGUCAAAUAAUUGUGAUGAAAGAAGAAGAAAAAAUGGCGAAAAAGACAAACCUUGAAAUCUUGCACUGUGCGUGGGAUUAGCUUAUUUCGUUUAGGUUAAAUGAUAUACCAUUAAUCUUUAAAUCAAGAGCAUAUUUGAAAUGUUAAACAGUAAUAGGUAAACUCUCCAAAUGUCUGGAAAUUUGUCAGAAUUCCUUUUAACUCGACAGCUUAUACCCUGCCAUUGUUUUUCUGUGAAAUUCUUCAAAAGGUU
Paramuricea clavata is the source of this 419-nucleotide non-coding RNA. NCBI's taxonomy places the organism in Eukaryota, Metazoa, Cnidaria, Anthozoa, Malacalcyonacea, Plexauridae. The record is from the annotation of a GenBank genome assembly.